This 497-nucleotide ribosomal RNA is filed under the name uncultured bacterium. Its description in RNAcentral is "partial 16S ribosomal RNA". It matches the Rfam family "Bacterial small subunit ribosomal RNA", at positions 28 to 507 of the family's 1533-position model. The record is from RNAcentral.
GACGAACGCUGGCGGCGUGCCUAAUACAUGCAAGUAGAACGCUGAAGAGAGGAGCUUACUCUUCUUGGAUGAGUUGCGAACGGGUGAGUAACGCGUAGGUAACCUGCCUUGUAGCGGGGGAUAACUAUUGGAAACGAUAGCUAAUACCGCAUAACAAUGGAUGACACAUGUCAUUUAUUUGAAAGGGGCAAUUGCUCCACUACAAGAUGGACCUGCGUUGUAUUAGCUAGUAGGUGAGGUAAUGGCUCACCUAGGCGACGAUACAUAGCCGACCUGAGAGGGUGAUCGGCCACACUGGGACUGAGACACGGCCCAGACUCCUACGGGAGGCAGCAGUAGGGAAUCGUCGGCAAUGGGGGCAACCCUGACCGCGCAACGCCGCGUGAGUGAAGAAGGGUUUCGGAUCGUAAAGCUCUGUUGUAAGUCAAGAACGGGUGUGAGAGUGGAAAGUUCACACUGUGACGGUAGCUUACCAGAAAGGGACGGCUAACUACGUG